GAAGAAUCAGAGGAGAAGGGACGGAAGGCCUCGGAAAUCUCCUGCCCUGGGAGAAGCCAGCUGCCAUAUCAUGAGAACGUGUAAGCAUCCUUGAGGAGCGGUCCAUGUGCUUUCCAGUGACUGCAGCCCUGGCCAACCUCUUGAUGGCCUCCUCAUGAGAGCUGAUGAGCCAGGACCACCCAGUGAAGCCAUUCCUGGAUUCGUGUCCUGCAGACACGGUGCAGCAGGUACUGGGGACUGGUUGCCACCAUUACAGCAUUAGUUGGUGCUAUAGACUGAAUUCUCUGUGCAUGCACCAAGCAAAGGCCAUGUGAGGACAUACCAGGAAAAGGCCCUCACCAGACACCAAAUCUGC
RNAcentral lists this long non-coding RNA (355 nucleotides) under Homo sapiens (human). Its description in RNAcentral is "HSALNT0356720". The record is from RNAcentral. Lineage: Eukaryota; Metazoa; Chordata; Mammalia; Primates; Hominidae.